This 1346-nucleotide ribosomal RNA is filed under the name uncultured bacterium. Its description in RNAcentral is "bacterial SSU rRNA". It matches the Rfam family "Bacterial small subunit ribosomal RNA", at positions 28 to 1381 of the family's 1533-position model. The record is from RNAcentral.
GACGAACGCUGGCGGCGUGCUUAACACAUGCAAGUCGAACGGAAAGGCCCUGCUUUUGUGGGGUGCUCGAGUGGCGAACGGGUGAGUAACACGUGAGUAACCUGCCCUUGACUUUGGGAUAACUUCAGGAAACUGGGGCUAAUACCGGAUAGGAGCUCCUGCUGCAUGGUGGGGGUUGGAAAGUUUCGGCGGUUGGGGAUGGACUCGCGGCUUAUCAGCUUGUUGGUGGGGUAGUGGCUUACCAAGGCUUUGACGGGUAGCCGGCCUGAGAGGGUGACCGGCCACAUUGGGACUGAGAUACGGCCCAGACUCCUACGGGAGGCAGCAGUGGGGAAUAUUGCACAAUGGGCGGAAGCCUGAUGCAGCAACGCCGCGUGCGGGAUGACGGCCUUCGGGUUGUAAACCGCUUUCGCCUGUGACGAAGCGUGAGUGACGGUAAUGGGUAAAGAAGCACCGGCUAACUACGUGCCAGCAGCCGCGGUGAUACGUAGGGCGCGAGCGUUGUCCGGAUUUAUUGGGCGUAAAGGGCUCGUAGGUGGUUGAUCGCGUCGGAAGUGUAAUCUUGGGGCUUAACCCUGAGCGUGCUUUCGAUACGGGUUGACUUGAGGAAGGUAGGGGAGAAUGGAAUUCCUGGUGGAGCGGUGGAAUGCGCAGAUAUCAGGAGGAACACCAGUGGCGAAGGCGGUUCUCUGGGCCUUUCCUGACGCUGAGGAGCGAAAGCGUGGGGAGCGAACAGGCUUAGAUACCCUGGUAGUCCACGCUGUAAACGGUGGGUACUAGGUGUGGGGUCCAUUCCACGGGUUCCGUGCCGUAGCUAACGCUUUAAGUACCCCGCCUGGGGAGUACGGCCGCAAGGCUAAAACUCAAAGGAAUUGACGGGGCCCCGCACAAGCGGCGGAGCAUGCGGAUUAAUUCGAUGCAACGCGUAGAACCUUACCUGGGUUUGACAUGGAUCGGGAGCGCUCAGAGAUGGGUGUGCCUCUUUUGGGGUCGGUUCACAGGUGGUGCAUGGCUGUCGUCAGCUCGUGUCGUGAGAUGUUGGGUUAAGUCCCGCAACGAGCGCAACCCUUGUUCACUGUUGCCAGCACGUUAUGGUGGGGACUCAGUGGAGACCGCCGGGGUCAACUCGGAGGAAGGUGGGGAUGACGUCAAGUCAUCAUGCCCCUUAUGUCCAGGGCUUCACGCAUGCUACAAUGGCUGGUACAGAGAGUGGCGAGCCUGUGAGGGUGAGCGAAUCUCGGAAAGCCGGUCUCAGUUCGGAUUGGGGUCUGCAACUCGACCUCAUGAAGUCGGAGUCGCUAGUAAUCGCAGAUCAGCAACGCUGCGGUGAAUACGUUCCCGGGGCU